GUCGCUGCAAAAUCAGCGGCCGGGCUUGGUAACCCGACGAGUAAACGGCGCGUAAGCGCCCUCCAUAACGAAUGCUGGCGCUUUUUUU
Non-coding RNA from Pseudomonas chlororaphis subsp. aureofaciens 30-84, 88 nucleotides. The record is from Rfam. Lineage: Bacteria; Pseudomonadati; Pseudomonadota; Gammaproteobacteria; Pseudomonadales; Pseudomonadaceae.